This 383-nucleotide ribosomal RNA is filed under the name uncultured eukaryote. RNAcentral's name for it is "partial 18S ribosomal RNA". It matches the Rfam family "Eukaryotic small subunit ribosomal RNA", at positions 592 to 976 of the family's 1831-position model. The record is from RNAcentral.
CAAUAGCGUAUAUUAAAGUUGUUGCAGUUAAAAAGCUCGUAGUUGGAUUUCUGGUAGGAGUGACCGUUCCGAACUUGAUUGUUCGUGUAUUGUGUUUUCUCCAGCCAUCCUUGUGGAGAACUUUUCUUGCAUUAAUUUGUAGGGAUUGGGACCCGCAUCGUUUACUGUGAAAAAAUUAGAGUGUUUAAAGCAGGCAAUCGCUUGAAUACAUUAGCAUGGAAUAAUAAGAUAGGACUUUGGUACUAUUUUGUUGGUUUGCAUACCAAAUUAAUGAUCAACAGGAACAGUUUGAGGAUAUUCGUAUGAACAUGUCAGAGGUGAAAUUCUUGGAUUUUGAUCAGACUAACUACUGCGAAAGCAUUUAUCAAGGAUGUUUUCAUUAA